CCUACGGGAGGCAGCAGUCGAGAAUCAUUCACAAUGGGGGAAACCCUGAUGGUGCGACGCCGCGUGGGUGAAUGAAGGUCUUCGGAUUGUAAACCCCUGUCAUGUGGGAGCAAAUUAAAAAGAUAGUACCACAAGAGGAAGAGACGUCUAACUCUGUGCCAGCAGCCGCGGUAAUACAGAGGUCUCAAGCGUUGUUCGGAAUCACUGGGCGUAAAGCGUGCGUAGGCUGUUUCGUAAGUCGUGUGUGAACGGCGGGGGCUCAACCCGCGGACGGCACAUGAUACUGCGAGACUAGAGUAAUGGAGGGGGAACCGGAAUUCUAGGUGUAGCAGUGAAAUGCGUAGAUAUCGAGAGGAACACUCGUGGCGAAGGUGGGUUCCUGGACAUUAACUGACGCUGAGGCACGAAGGCCAGGGGAGCGAAAGGGAUUAGAUACCCCAGUAGUC
RNAcentral lists this ribosomal RNA (446 nucleotides) under uncultured bacterium. RNAcentral describes it as "partial 16S ribosomal RNA". It matches the Rfam family "Bacterial small subunit ribosomal RNA", at positions 338 to 795 of the family's 1533-position model. The record is from RNAcentral.